Vicia villosa (hairy vetch) is the source of this 707-nucleotide long non-coding RNA. RefSeq lists it as uncharacterized. The record is from RefSeq and is a predicted model, not a curated record. The transcript is spliced from 3 exons. Lineage: Eukaryota; Viridiplantae; Streptophyta; Magnoliopsida; Fabales; Fabaceae.
UCUCACUUAAUCACACAUUAAUCAAAAGGAGAAUUGAAAAGGAAUUAGGGUUUUACGUGAAUGGAUAUUGAACUUAUCUCCUUCCUCUCUCACGAACAAGAGCGGUGGCCGGACCUCCCUCUCCGAUCAUUCUCCGGCCACCAACUGUUAGACUCACGUCGCCUCCUCUCAUCUCUCUUCCGUUCUCAAUACCUUCCUCAUAUUUUCAGAUUGGUCUCUCUGAUUACAAACUCUCCGGCUCACUCUCUCGAAUCAAGUUCUCUUCACAUCAAUCUCUCUUGUCUCGCCUCCGGCAGAAUUAUGAUGCAUUUCAAGCUCGCCGACAAAGCAUAAUCGGAAAAUCGCUUCAAGAAAUCAGUGAUGAAGAUGAUGGAUUCGGUUCAGAAAGGGAAUGUUGAAGAUUGAUGAUGAUUGUCAAUGAAUCAGGCUUCGGUUGCAAAGAGAUGAAGAUGAAGGUACUGACUCGGUUUACGGUUCGAUUCGGUUUGAAUCCUUCAUGAUGCAAGGGCUGUUUCGAAUGUUUAUCUUUGUGCCAUAUUGAUUCUGAUUCUAUUUUUAUGAGUCUAUUGUAUUGGAGCUUUGAAUCUCUUGACAUAAUUUUCUUUGUAAUGGAUAUGUAUUGAAAUGGGUUUAAUGAAAAUGGUUUUAUGUAAUUUUGCUAAUGAACUUUGAAUUAUGGUAGGGAUUGGAUGCCUUGUAAUUAUAAU